GUNAUACUAGUGGCNAGCNUUUCCGGAUGANUGGNGUAANGGAGCGCAAGUGGAAAAUUAAUUCCUCUUAAAANUUNGGGNUCAACCCCGUGAUGGGAGAGAAACUACAUUUCUUGAGUGCAGGAGAGGAAAGCGGAAUUCCUAGUGUAGCGGUGAAAUGCGUAGAUAUUAGGAGGAACACCAGUGGCGAAGGCGGCUUUCUGGACUGUAACUGACACUGAGGUACGAAAGUGUGGGGAGCAAACAGGAUUAGAUACCCUGGUAGCCCACGCCGUAAACGAUGAGUGCUAAGUGUUGGGGGGUUUCCGCCCCUCAGUGCUGCAGCUAACGCAUUAAGCACUCCGCCUGGGGAGUACGGUCGCAAGACUGAAACUCAAAGGAAUUGACGGGGGCCCGCACAAGCGGUGGAGCAUGUGGUUUAAUUCG
Molecule: ribosomal RNA, 426 nt
Filed under: uncultured bacterium
Lineage: Bacteria
Description: partial 16S ribosomal RNA
Rfam family: Bacterial small subunit ribosomal RNA
Source: RNAcentral